This 776-nucleotide ribosomal RNA is filed under the name Lacticaseibacillus rhamnosus. Its description in RNAcentral is "bacterial SSU rRNA". It matches the Rfam family "Bacterial small subunit ribosomal RNA", at positions 282 to 1049 of the family's 1533-position model. Lineage: Bacteria; Bacillati; Bacillota; Bacilli; Lactobacillales; Lactobacillaceae. The record is from RNAcentral.
CGUAGCCGAACUGAGAGGUUGAUCGGCCACAUUGGGACUGAGACACGGCCCAAACUCCUACGGGAGGCAGCAGUAGGGAAUCUUCCACAAUGGACGCAAGUCUGAUGGAGCAACGCCGCGUGAGUGAAGAAGGCUUUCGGGUCGUAAAACUCUGUUGUUGGAGAAGAAUGGUCGGCAGAGUAACUGUUGUCGGCGUGACGGUAUCCAACCAGAAAGCCACGGCUAACUACGUGCCAGCAGCCGCGGUAAUACGUAGGUGGCAAGCGUUAUCCGGAUUUAUUGGGCGUAAAGCGAGCGCAGGCGGUUUUUUAAGUCUGAUGUGAAAGCCCUCGGCUUAACCGAGGAAGUGCAUCGGAAACUGGGAAACUUGAGUGCAGAAGAGGACAGUGGAACUCCAUGUGUAGCGGUGAAAUGCGUAGAUAUAUGGAAGAACACCAGUGGCGAAGGCGGCUGUCUGGUCUGUAACUGACGCUGAGGCUCGAAAGCAUGGGUAGCGAACAGGAUUAGAUACCCUGGUAGUCCAUGCCGUAAACGAUGAAUGCUAGGUGUUGGAGGGUUUCCGCCCUUCAGUGCCGCAGCUAACGCAUUAAGCAUUCCGCCUGGGGAGUACGACCGCAAGGUUGAAACUCAAAGGAAUUGACGGGGGCCCGCACAAGCGGUGGAGCAUGUGGUUUAAUUCGAAGCAACGCGAAGAACCUUACCAGGUCUUGACAUCUUUUGAUCACCUGAGAGAUCAGGUUUCCCCUUCGGGGGCAAAAUGACAGGUGGUGCAUGGU